This 253-nucleotide ribosomal RNA is filed under the name uncultured bacterium. Its description in RNAcentral is "partial 16S ribosomal RNA". It matches the Rfam family "Bacterial small subunit ribosomal RNA", at positions 524 to 776 of the family's 1533-position model. The record is from RNAcentral.
UACGUAGGGGGCAAGCGUUGUCCGGAUUUAUUGGGCGUAAAGAGCGUGUAGGCGGCUGGGUAGGUCCGUUGUGAAAACUCGAGGCUCAACCUCGAGACGCCGAUGGAAACCCUCCAGCUAGAGUCCGGAAGAGGAGAGUGGAAUUCCUGGUGUAGCGGUGAAAUGCGCAGAUAUCAGGAGGAACACCAAUGGCGAAGGCAGCACUCUGGGACGGUACUGACGCUGAGACGCGAAAGCGUGGGGAGCAAACAGG